AGGAAUUGACGGGGACCCGCACAAGUAGCGGAGCAUGUGGUUUAAUUCGAAGCAACGCGAAGAACCUUACCUAAGCUUGACAUCCCAAUGACAUCUCCUUAAUCGGAGAGUUCCCUUCGGGGACAUUGGUGACAGGUGGUGCAUGGUUGUCGUCAGCUCGUGUCGUGAGAUGUUGGGUUAAGUCCCGCAACGAGCGCAACCCUUGUCUUUAGUUGCCAUCAUUAAGUUGGGCACUCUAGAGAGACUGCCAGGGAUAACCUGGAGGAAGGUGGGGAUGACGUCAAAUCAUCAUGCCCCUUAUGCUUAGGGCUACACACGUGCUACAAUGGGUAGUACAGAGGGUUGCCAAGCCGUAAGGCGGAGCUAAUCCCUUAAAGCUACUCUCAGUUCGGAUUGUAGGCUGAAACUCGCCUACAUGAAGCUGGAGUUACUAGUAAUCGCAGAUCAGAAUGCUGCGGUGAAUGCGUUCCCGGGUCUUGUACACACCGCCCGUCACACCACGGGAGUUGGAGACGCCCGAAGCCGAUUAUCUAACCUUUUGGAAGAAGUCGUCGAAGGUGGAAUCAAUAACUGGGGUGAAGUCGUAACAAGGUAGCCGUAUCGGAAGGUGCGGCUGGAUCACCUCCUUUCUAAGGA
This 636-nucleotide ribosomal RNA is filed under the name Clostridioides difficile. Its description in RNAcentral is "bacterial SSU rRNA". It matches the Rfam family "Bacterial small subunit ribosomal RNA", at positions 905 to 1533 of the family's 1533-position model. Lineage: Bacteria; Bacillati; Bacillota; Clostridia; Peptostreptococcales; Peptostreptococcaceae. The record is from RNAcentral.